This 196-nucleotide ribosomal RNA is filed under the name Ehrlichia canis. RNAcentral describes it as "partial 16S ribosomal RNA". It matches the Rfam family "Bacterial small subunit ribosomal RNA", at positions 559 to 753 of the family's 1533-position model. The record is from RNAcentral. Lineage: Bacteria; Pseudomonadati; Pseudomonadota; Alphaproteobacteria; Rickettsiales; Anaplasmataceae.
UCGUAAAGGGCACGUAGGUGGACUAGUAAGUUAAAAGUGAAAUACCAAAGCUUAACUUUGGAGCGGCUUUUAAUACUGCUAGACUAGAGGUCGAAAGAGGAUAGCGGAAUUCCUAGUGUAGAGGUGAAAUUCGUAGAUAUUAGGAGGAACACCAGUGGCGAAGGCGGCUAUCUGGUUCGAUACUGACACUGAGGUG